RNAcentral lists this ribosomal RNA (703 nucleotides) under uncultured Burkholderia sp. RNAcentral's name for it is "bacterial SSU rRNA". It matches the Rfam family "Bacterial small subunit ribosomal RNA", at positions 60 to 756 of the family's 1533-position model. Lineage: Bacteria; Pseudomonadati; Pseudomonadota; Betaproteobacteria; Burkholderiales; Burkholderiaceae. The record is from RNAcentral.
AGUCGAACGGCAGCACGGGUGCUUGCACCUGGUGGCGAGUGGCGAACGGGUGAGUAAUACAUCGGAACAUGUCCAGUAGUGGGGGAUAGCCCGGCGAAAGCCGGAUUAAUACCGCAUACGAUCUUUGGAUGAAAGCGGGGGAUCGCAAGACCUCGCGCUAUUGGGGUGGCCGAUGGCGGAUUAGCUAGUUGGUGGGGUAAAGGCUCACCAAGGCGACGAUCCGUAGCUGGUCUGAGAGGACGACCAGCCACACUGGGACUGAGACACGGCCCAGACUCCUACGGGAGGCAGCAGUGGGGAAUUUUGGACAAUGGGCGAAAGCCUGGUCCAGCAAUGCCGCGUCUGUGAAGAAGGCCUUCGGGUUGUAAAGCACUUUUGUCCGGAAAGAAAUCCUUUUCGAUAAUACCGGAAGGGGAUGACGGUACCGGAAGAAUAAGCACCGGCUAACUACGUGCCAGCAGCCGCGGUAAUACGUAGGGUGCGAGCGUUAAUCGGAAUUACUGGGCGUAAAGCGUGCGCAGGCGGUGAUGUAAGACCGAUGUGAAAUCCCCGGGCUUAACCUGGGAACUGCAUUGGUGACUGCAUCGCUGGAGUAUGGCAGAGGGGGGUAGAAUUCCACGUGUAGCAGUGAAAUGCGUAGAGAUGUGGAGGAAUACCGAUGGCGAAGGCAGCCCCCUGGGCCAAUACUGACGCUCAUGCACGA